Molecule: small RNA, 124 nt
Filed under: Bacillus spizizenii str. W23
Lineage: Bacteria; Bacillati; Bacillota; Bacilli; Caryophanales; Bacillaceae
Description: Bacillus subtilis subsp. spizizenii str. W23 6Sb RNA
Rfam family: 6S / SsrS RNA
About the family: E. coli 6S RNA was the first non coding RNA to be sequenced, but its function was unknown until recently.
Source: RNAcentral
UUAAAUGGCGUACAUGCCUCUUUUCAUUCGGUAAAGAGGACUUACAAGAUUUAAAAGAGGGCACCCACCUGCUGAGAGCGGGUUCAAAACAAAGGAAAGCUGCAACGGCACUAUUGGGACUUUA